This 507-nucleotide ribosomal RNA is filed under the name uncultured bacterium. RNAcentral's name for it is "bacterial SSU rRNA". It matches the Rfam family "Bacterial small subunit ribosomal RNA", at positions 28 to 527 of the family's 1533-position model. The record is from RNAcentral.
GAUGAACGCUAGCGGGAGGCUUAACACAUGCAAGUCGAGGGGCAGCAUAGGGUAGCAAUACUCUGAUGGCGACCGGCAAACGGGUGAGUAACGCGUAUGCAACCUACCCUGUACAGGGGGAUAACCCGGAGAAAUUCGGACUAAUAUCCCGUAAUAAUAUCCGGAGGCAUCUUUGGAUAUUUAAAGUUCCGACGGUACGGGAUGGGCAUGCGUAACAUUAGCUGGUUGGUAAGGUAACGGCUUACCAAGGCUAUGAUGUUUAGGGGUCCUGAGAGGGUGGUCCCCCACACUGGUACUGAGACACGGACCAGACUCCUACGGGAGGCAGCAGUGAGGAAUAUUGGUCAAUGGGCGCAAGCCUGAACCAGCCAUCCCGCGUGCAGGAAGACGGCCCUAUGGGUUGUAAACUGCUUUUCCAGGGAGAGAAACUUACGCACGUGUUGCGUGACUGACGGUACCCUGGGAAUAAGCAUCGGCUAACUCCGUGCCAGCAGCCGCGGUAAACUA